GAACUGAACAGUCACCAGUCGGCCGUCAAGGUCUGUACUGGUCUGUUCGUUCUCACCUAUGGGAUGCUCACCGCUACUCUUAACUGGGCGGCGGCUAAAACAAAAAAAAAAGCAUUGGUAGGACAAAAACGGUAUACGUCUCGCGCGUGUACUGCCUAUCAGUGUGGAGUUCCCAUUCGUUUACUUUGAAUAAAUUAGGGUGUUCAAAGCAGCCAAAAAAGGAGGCAUGGAUACUACAGCAUGGGAUAACGGAAUACGAUUUCGGUUCGAUGUUUCGUUGGUUUCUAGGAUCGAAGUA
Molecule: ribosomal RNA, 298 nt
Filed under: uncultured fungus
Lineage: Eukaryota; Fungi
Description: partial small subunit ribosomal RNA
Source: RNAcentral